RNAcentral lists this ribosomal RNA (404 nucleotides) under Fusobacteriota bacterium. RNAcentral's name for it is "Fusobacteria bacterium partial 16S ribosomal RNA". It matches the Rfam family "Bacterial small subunit ribosomal RNA", at positions 355 to 776 of the family's 1533-position model. The record is from RNAcentral. Lineage: Bacteria; Fusobacteriati; Fusobacteriota.
UGGGGAAUAUUGCACAAUGGGGGAAACCCUGAUGCAGCGACGCCGCGUGAGCGAAGAAGGUUUUCGAAUCGUAAAACUCUGUUCUAUGGGAAGAAAAGGACUGUACCAUAGGAGAAAGCUCCGGCUAAAUACGUGCCAGCAGCCGCGGUAAUACGUAUGGAGCGAGCGUUGUCCGGAAUUAUUGGGCGUAAAGGGUGCGCAGGCGGCUUUACAAGUUGGAUGUGAAAUAUUGUGGCUCAACCACAAACGUGCAUCCAAAACUGCAAAGCUUGAGUUAAGGAGAGGUAAGUGGAAUUCCUGGUGUAGCGGUGGAAUGCGCAGAUAUCAGGAGGAAUACCGGUGGCGAAGGCGGGUCUCUGGGCUGUUACUGACGCUGAGGAGCGAAAGCGUGGGGAGCGAACAGG